This 251-nucleotide long non-coding RNA is filed under the name Musa acuminata (dwarf banana). RNAcentral's name for it is "long non-coding RNA (MACU_LNC009602)". The record is from RNAcentral. Lineage: Eukaryota; Viridiplantae; Streptophyta; Magnoliopsida; Zingiberales; Musaceae.
AUCUACUCUCUUUUCUCCUGCGUAAGUCUCAAGUAAGGGCAAAGUUCAUGUUUACGAGAUCUUAAGUUGGAUCAGUGAAAAAGUCUGCAUGCAGCAUCAGCAGGAGAAGAAUCCCAAUAAAGAGAAUCAGUUGCCCACGGUUCAAAGGGAUGCUAUGUAUCUUGACUUCUUUCUAUACUUGGUGCUCGAUAAGAGAUAUAUGACAUUUGGACUUUGGAGUUGCUGAGAGUACCAGAAGCUUAACCCAGAAG